Molecule: ribosomal RNA, 492 nt
Filed under: uncultured bacterium
Lineage: Bacteria
Description: partial 16S ribosomal RNA
Rfam family: Bacterial small subunit ribosomal RNA
Source: RNAcentral
AGUGAACGCUGGCGGUAGGCCUAACACAUGCAAGUCGAACGGCAGCACAGUAAGAGCUUGCUCUUACGGGUGGCGAGUGGCGGACGGGUGAGGAAUACAUCGGAAUCUACUUUUUCGUGGGGGAUAACGUAGGGAAACUUACGCUAAUACCGCAUACGACCUACGGGUGAAAGCAGGGGAUCUUCGGACCUUGCGCGAUUGAAUGAGCCGAUGUCGGAUUAGCUAGUUGGCGGGGUAAAGGCCCACCAAGGCGACGAUCCGUAGCUGGUCUGAGAGGAGGAUCAGCCACAAUGGAACUGAGACACGGUCCAGACUCCUACGGGAGGCAGCAGUGGGGAAUAUUGGACAAUGGGCGCAAGCCUGAUCCAGCCAUACUGCGUGGGUGAAGAAGGCCUUCGGGUUGUAAAGCCCUUUUGUUGGGAAAGAAAAGCAGCAGGUUAAUACCCCGCUGUUCUGACGGUACCCAAAGAAUAAGCACCGGCUAACUUCGUG